AUCACUGUUGGAUAUGUAUUAAAGAAGCUUGUAACAUUUAUUAAGAAGUCGAUAAGUAUAUUUUAUUUGGCUAUUUAGUGUGUAUUGGUGAACAUGAUGUUUUAAAAUUUAUGUAUUAAUUUGUUUGGAGAUAUACAUUGGGUUGCUAGAUAACUAAUUUGCUAAAUGUGUAUCACCUGACCGUAUAUUAUAUAUUGGUAAAUAUUUAAUUUUAGAAACUGUGUAUCGAUUUAUUUAGAUGUGUGUAUUGACUUAUUAGAUGAUUAAUUUAUUAGUGUGUAUUACCUGGUCUUGUAGUAUAUAUUAGUAUAAAAUAAGUUUCGAGAAUAAAUAAGAAAGAAGAUGCCACAUGCGAUUUUUUUUAUUUUUUU
This 371-nucleotide long non-coding RNA is filed under the name Phoenix dactylifera (date palm). Its description in RNAcentral is "long non-coding RNA (PDAC_LNC004928)". Lineage: Eukaryota; Viridiplantae; Streptophyta; Magnoliopsida; Arecales; Arecaceae. The record is from RNAcentral.